Molecule: ribosomal RNA, 508 nt
Filed under: uncultured bacterium
Lineage: Bacteria
Description: partial 16S ribosomal RNA
Rfam family: Bacterial small subunit ribosomal RNA
Source: RNAcentral
GACGAACGCUGGCGGCGUGCCUAAUACAUGCAAGUCGAACGCUUCUUUCCUCCCGAGUGCUUGCACUCAAUUGGAAAGAGGAGUGGCGGACGGGUGAGUAACACGUGGGUAACCUACCCAUCAGAGGGGGAUAACACUUGGAAACAGGUGCUAAUACCGCAUAACAGUUUAUGCCGCAUGGCAUAAGAGUGAAAGGCGCUUUCGGGUGUCGCUGAUGGAUGGACCCGCGGUGCAUUAGCUAGUUGGUGAGGUAACGGCUCACCAAGGCCACGAUGCAUAGCCGACGUGAGAGGGUGAGCGGCCACACUGGGACUGAGACACGGCCCAGACUCCUACGGGAGGCAGCAGUAGGGAAUCUUCGGCAAUGGACGAAAGUCUGACCGAGCAACGCCGCGUGAGUGAAGAAGGUUUUCGGAUCGUAAAACUCUGUUGUUAGAGAAGAACAAGGACGUUAGUAACUGAACGUCCCCUGACGGUAUCUAACCAGAAAGCCACGGCUAACUACGUG